This 438-nucleotide ribosomal RNA is filed under the name uncultured bacterium. Its description in RNAcentral is "bacterial SSU rRNA". It matches the Rfam family "Bacterial small subunit ribosomal RNA", at positions 28 to 460 of the family's 1533-position model. The record is from RNAcentral.
GAUGAACGCUAGCGGCAGGCCUAACACAUGCAAGUCGAGGGGUAACAUAGAGAAGCUUGCUUUUCUGAUGACGACCGGCGCACGGGUGCGUAACGCGUAUGCAACCUACCUUAUACUGAGGGAUAGCCCGAAGAAAUUCGGAUUAAUACCUCAUAGUAUUACUAGAUCGCAUGAUUUGGUAAUUAAAGAUUACGGUAUAAGAUGGGCAUGCGUCCUAUUAGCUAGAUGGUAAGGUAACGGCUUACCAUGGCUACGAUAGGUAGGGGGCCUGAGAGGGUGAUCCCCCACACUGGUACUGAGACACGGACCAGACUCCUACGGGAGGCAGCAGUGAGGAAUAUUGGUCAAUGGAGGCAACUCUGAACCGGCCAUGCCGCGUGCAGGAAGAUGGCCCUAUGGGUUGUAAACUGCUUUUAUUUGGGAAUAAACUCCUCUACG